GGCCAGUUAGCUCAGUUGGUAGAGCAAGGGACUGAAAAUCCCUGUGUCCCCAGUUCGAUUCUGGGAUUGGCCACCA
Molecule: transfer RNA, 76 nt
Filed under: Thiovulum sp. ES
Lineage: Bacteria; Pseudomonadati; Campylobacterota; Epsilonproteobacteria; Campylobacterales; Sulfurimonadaceae
Description: tRNA-Phe
Rfam family: tRNA
About the family: Transfer RNA (tRNA) molecules are approximately 80 nucleotides in length. Their secondary structure includes four short double-helical elements and three loops (D, anti-codon, and T loops).
Source: RNAcentral